CCUGGCGGCAAUAGAGCAUUGGUACCACCUGAUUCCAUACCGAACUCAGAAGUGAAACGAUGCAUCGCCGAUGGUAGUGUGGGGCUUCCCAUGUGAGAGUAGGUCACUGUCAGGC
This 115-nucleotide ribosomal RNA is filed under the name Pseudomonadota bacterium. Lineage: Bacteria; Pseudomonadati; Pseudomonadota. The record is from RNAcentral.